CCUGGCUCACGUUGAACGCUAGCUACAGGCUUAACACAUGCAAGUCGAGGGGCAGCAUGGUCUUAGCUUGCUAAGGCCGAUGGCGACCGGCGCACGGGUGAGUAACACGUAUCCAACCUGCCGUCUACUCUUGGACAGCCUUCUGAAAGGAAGAUUAAUACAAGAUGGCAUCAUGAGUCCGCAUGUUCACAUGAUUAAAGGUAUUCCGGUAGACGAUGGGGAUGCGUUCCAUUAGAUAGUAGGCGGGGUAACGGCCCACCUAGUCUUCGAUGGAUAGGGGUUCUGAGAGGAAGGUCCCCCACAUUGGAACUGAGACACGGUCCAAACUCCUACGGGAGGCAGCAGUGAGGAAUAUUGGUCAAUGGGCGAGAGCCUGAACCAGCCAAGUAGCGUGAAGGAUGACUGCCCUAUGGGUUGUAAACUUCUUUUAUAAAGGAAUAAAGUCGGGUAUGGAUACCCGUUUGCAUGUACUUUAUGAAUAAGGAUCGGCUAACUCCGUGCCAGCAGCCGCGGUAAUACGGAGGAUCCGAGCGUUAUCCGGAUUUAUUGGGUUUAAAGGGAGCGUAGAUGGAUGUUUAAGUCAGUUGUGAAAGUUUGCGGCUCAACCGUAAAAUUGCAGUUGAUACUGGAUAUCUUGAGUGCAGUUGAGGCAGGCGGAAUUCGUGGUGUAGCGGUGAAAUGCUUAGAUAUCACGAAGAACUCCGAUUGCGAAGGCAGCCUGCUAAGCUGCAACUGACAUUGAGGCUCGAAAGUGUGGGUAUCAAACAGGAUUAGAUACCCUGGUAGUCCACACGGUAAACGAUGAAUACUCGCUGUUUGCGAUAUACUGCAAGCGGCCAAGCGAAAGCGUUAAGUAUUCCACCUGGGGAGUACGCCGGCAACGGUGAAACUCAAAGGAAUUGACGGGGGCCCGCACAAGCGGAGGGACAUGUGGUUUAAUUCGAUGAUACGCGAGGAACCUUACCCGGGCUUAAAUUGCAGAUGAAUUACGGUGAAAGCCGUAAGCCGCAAGGCAUCUGUGAAGGUGCUGCAUGGUUGUCGUCAGCUCGUGCCGUGAGGUGUCGGCUUAAGUGCCAUAACGAGCGCAACCCUUGUUGUCAGUUACUAACAGGUUCCGCUGAGGACUCUGACAAGACUGCCAUCGUAAGAUGUGAGGAAGGUGGGGAUGACGUCAAAUCAGCACGGCCCUUACGUCCGGGGCUACACACGUGUUACAAUGGGGGGUACAGAGGGCCGCUACCACGCGAGUGGAUGCCAAUCCCCAAAACCUCUCUCAGUUCGGACUGGAGUCUGCAACCCGACUCCACGAAGCUGGAUUCGCUAGUAAUCGCGCAUCAGCCACGGCGCGGUGAAUACGUUCCCGGGCCUUGCACACACCGCCCG
This 1383-nucleotide ribosomal RNA is filed under the name uncultured bacterium. RNAcentral describes it as "bacterial SSU rRNA". It matches the Rfam family "Bacterial small subunit ribosomal RNA", at positions 18 to 1396 of the family's 1533-position model. The record is from RNAcentral.